UUCCACCACUUUCUUCUUCAAUAGAUGUGCUUGGUAAGGUAGUUCGCCAAUUUCUUACAGCCGAAACAAAUACUCGACCAAUUCUAAGAAAGGGACUCUUGUCAUUAUCCUUAAUGUUAAACCUAUAGGUCAUCGUUCCAAGCAUGAAAACAAUCAAACCAAUGAUCAUUACUACACAAGGGAUUCCGAAUCCAAUAACCCAACUAUAGUUAUCUUGUAUAUAGGUCAAGACUAAAAUUGUUGCCGAGCAAACUCCAACCAUUGUGAAAUACCACCAAUUAAAGAAUGAGCUUCUAGCUAUGAGCUCCUUAGGAUGUUUAUCGUCGAAUUGAUCUGCCCCGAAAGCUUGAACACAAGGUUUAUGUCCACUUUGUCCAAUGGCAACUAGAUAGAGUGAGAUGAAGAAUAAGAUUACUUGUGAAUGUUGGGAGCAGAAUAUGAAUGUACUGUCUACUUGACAUUUAGAUUUGAUGAGGGAAGGAAGCAUAGCUGAUAAUGUUAACAAGCUUAGUCCCUGUAAUUCAUAUUAAGCCAAUGACCAGCAUCAAAACAAUGAGCCAAUAGAACUAUGCAUCUGCAUCUCAGUCGUCCGAUCAAAGACCGGGUGAUCCUAAUUUUAGCCUCAACUUUUUAGAUUUAAAAAAAAAAUUAAAAUUUACUUUAAAAUAUAAACUGUUUUAUCCUGAUUGGACAGCUGAGAUGCAUUUGAUAGCAUGCAUCUAAUCCAAAAUUCGACAACUAUAGAGAAAAUGAACGUCAUUGGACAUCAUACUUACUACUAAUCAGAAAAAAAAAUACCAUAACAUGUUAAAUUAGAGAUUAAAAAUAGAAGAAAAAACAAAGUUAAAAAAAUCAAACAAUCUAACUAACCAAGAUAUAGAUGAGAGAAGCAAGUAUGAUGGUGCGGUAGCGUCCGAGAAAAGAAUCAGCAAUGAAAGCACCUAAGAUAGGAAGAAGAGAAGCAGUUCCAGCCCAAAUAUUCACAUUUUCAGCAGAUGUUGCAGUGCUCUGUUUGAGUGGUCCUGUUAGAUAUGAUAUCAAGUUCCCCUGAAUUCCAUAAUGUGACACCCUCUCUGCCACUUCCACAGCUAGACAUACAUAACAUUCAUAAAUUCUUAUUAAAUUUAAAUUUGUUUAAUUAUAAAAUUAUUUUUACCAAAAAAUAGAUUUUUUUUUUAAAACGCCAAAAGUUGAAGAUAAAAUUUGAACUAAAACCCAAAUUUUGACUAAACCUAUGUUUGGUAUCACGGUGGAUAUGUUAGAAUCAGAAUCACUGAUCCACCGUAAAAAAAAAAUAAAAAAUUAAGGUGGAUCACCGUGAUUCUGACAUACUCAUUGUGAUACCAAAUAUAGACUAAGGUUAGCUUCCACUAUCACUAUCAGUCUAAAGACCUUGUUCAGUGGCUUAUACAGUGGUCCUGAGUCCUGACCAACAAAUCUACACUUAACUCACCUUUUAUUUUUAUGAAUCAAACACUAUUUUUUACCAUAAUAUUCGUAAUAAGUUUCUACGGUCGUUAGCAAUGGCUAAUUUCUAUUAAGGAACUUGUGUGACACACAAGGUGGUUUCCCCCUUCUCAACCAAAUUUUCUCCGCACACAUGGCAGAAACCCCCUGAUCACAUGCUUAGGGGACCAAAAACCUUAUCACUUCGACCAAUUUAUUAUUGGUUUAUGAAUCAAACACUUAACUCAACUAAAUUAGUGUUAGUAAUUAAGUACAGUACCUAUGAUAAACCAAGCGGAUCUCCAAUAACCAGAUUUGGAUCUAACGGCAGGUUGUCCUGUGUAGUCAACGGCGCCGUCUACAAGAGCUAAUUCAGCUUCCAACAAAACGCUGUUGGAAUCCUCCAUCCAAAUGUUAUUCACUUCUUCUUCUUCUUCUGCUGCCAGUUCAUUAUAGAUGGGUUUGUUUGCAUUUGUACCUGAUUUUAUUUAUUUAUUUUGAACCAUGACACAUAUUGCUGUCUCUUUUUUUCUUUUGGUGAUUCUCCAUGAGAUUAAACUCUUUCUUUAUUGGAAGUAUGUUUUUGUUUUUAGAGUAAAACAUGGUGGAUAUUUUAGAGAACAAUGAGUAUGAAACAAGUAUUUUAUAUUUAUUUAUACACGCAACAAACGAGCAAUAAAUAAAUAGGAUUCGAAAUUAAUUAAUGUACCAGUGCCAUAUCUAUAAUUAAAUAUUCACGAAGAGAGUGUUCAAAUCAAAACCGUUUCAAAUAAAAAUUCUAAAUUGAUUGAAAAAAUUGAAAACUAUAAAAAAUUAAAUAUUUUUGGAUAUCCUCUUCAAGUAUAGGGUGGUCAUUGAGUACUUUUAGUAUAUGGUGUUAACAAAAACUGAAUUUUGGAAAAGAGCAGCGCUUCAAAACCGCCGCCAAAUACUGACCAAUUUUCCCCAUUUGCUUCACUCAUAAACCGCUGCAAAUAGCUACAAAACUGCCGGUGCCAGCGGUUGCCCUGAACUCCCACUGUAUGACCUACUGACACUUCUUUUUUCGACGGCAAACCAACCAACAUUUUGNNNNNNNNNNNAAACCGCCGCUGUGUGCCUGUUUCAACCGCCUCCACUUGCUGUUAUCUUGUAGUGCUCCCAACCAUGGUGACUAAACAACACUGGUGGGAUCGAUAUGACUAACAUGAGAGACAAUUUUUUUGUUCUGCUGACCAGCUCGCUAUGUGGAAUACAUAUUUCGUUCCCAGGUUAGUCGGCGAACGGUCUUUUCCUAGUUUUUGCUAUUUUAUACUCUCACUUCCUAAGUAGCAGGGGUAAAAUUGAAAGCUCGUGCAGCACGCGAGAAUGUCGGGGGCGUGAAAAGAAGAACUCAAAUUACUAAGGCGCGUGGUAUCGAGAAGGCAUCCCCACCAACAUGCUAUUAGGCCUUCUCCUUUUUCAUCAUACUACCAGACUCAAGAAGAAUAAAUGGGUUGUCACUAAAACAGGCCACCAAAAUAUAAUGUUUUCACGAAUUCACUUCGGAGAGUGUCAAAGAUUGUAUCAUGCCAUUAUCUAGCAUCUAGCUCUGCUGGCUAAAGGCUUGCGGGCAAAUGUUCAGAUUUAGGUCAAGACUUAAUCUUGCUUUGGACCACGUCACUAGUUAGUUCCUAGGUGAACCAUCUCAUGGACAUGCUUUAGAGGCACACAUGAGAAAGUCCGCGGAGACCACUCUUAACUAUUGGAUUUAAGUUUUAGGCAAUCCGACAACAUCUGUCUCACAUAAGGUUCUAGUUCCUCAUAACCCUAAUUCAACCCUAUAAAACUUAACUUAUGGUCUAGCCAUGGUACACACUAUUCUAAACCCUAUACCUCCCCCUCACAACACUUCCUUACUUUAUCGUUGCAGUAUUUUCAAAUACACCCCCGCCUCUGGGCUCGCUGAUAAAUGGUCCGCUAACAACAACCAUUGAAGUAACAUCACAUAUCAAAUCUCCCAGUUUGGAAGGAUCGAUAUAUUUAUUACCGUGUCGUCGAUAAUUGUUUUCGACCUUCCAAGUUUUCUAUUAAAAAAUAUAACUAAUAUAUUUUUUGUAAAUAUAAUUAAUUUAAAUAAAGAACUAAGAAAAAUACAUGAUAUUAUUACAAUUUUAUCAAAUAUAUACACAACUAAACCUUACUUUAUUAUCAUAUCAUGCUUGUCAAACUAUGACAUAAUAGAAAAACUUAUCAACAAUUAUGCUUGUGUGAUUAUACCUUUGUGAUUAUAAACAUAAGAUUUUGAAAAGUAAAUGAACAAAGUAAACCCCACCACACUUAAUCCAGUAAGUAGCCAAUAAAAGUAAUCAAGAUGUGCCUUAUUGAUAUUGUCACAAAACCAACUUUCAUGUCCAUCUUUGCCAGUAAUAUUUUCUAUCAUUGAAAUGAGAAAGCCACUUAGAAAGCUUCCAACACCAACAAUACUCAAGUAGAGUGCAAGUCCCAUGCUUCUUAGUUCAUUUGGGACCUGAUCAUAGAAAAACUCUUGAAGACCAACCAUAGUAAAAACCUCAGAAAUUCCAAACAAAAAGUAUUGAGGAACCAACCAACAUAUACUCAUUGGAACAAUUGCAUUAGGAUCAUCAACAAGUUCAUACUCUUGUGCUGUUUUUAGUCUUUUAAUCUCAACAAGGGCUGCAACUAUUACUGUGAAAAUGGAUAGAAAAAUUCCCGUACCGAUUCUUUGAAGCAUUGUGAUGCCUGAGGGUAUCCCAGUGAGAGAUCUUGCUACUGGCACGAAUAUGCGGUCGUAGACAGGACUGAUGAGAACAAUGGCGAGAUCAGUAAUCGUUUGAAGAGAAGCGGGAGGUAUGUCAAAACCAGGGAAUAUUGUUCUCUCCAUAGAUUUUCCUUGUUUGGUGAAGAAUGUAAAAACUUGAGCAAAGACAAUACCAUAAACCAAACAUGUAGCCCAAAUUGGAAUUAACCUUAAUAUUGCCUUUGCUUCUUCGACUUCAUUAAGGGUACAAGUCUCAUCUUCUUCGGAUCCCUCUGGUGCUAGCAAUGCCUUGUUGAGGAAACUGCCAAUACAGGAAAUACAAGCCAAGUCAAAAUAGUCAUAAUCUUUCGGGUUCCAGGGCUUUUGUUAGAAUUAGUUGGAGUUGGUUAUAGGUUGUUAAUCUUUGUUAUGUUAGUUAUGACCACUAUCUAAAGUGUGUCCAACACUUAUUGUAACCAAGUUUUCUCAAUGACUUUUUCUAGGAUGAACCGUUAAACUUGUAGCUUGCAGCACAAGUUACUUGGGUAACAAGAAACUUGUGUAUUCGUUUUACUUUUAGUAUAUUGUAACUAUGGUGUGCUAUAUGUAGGUUACAUUAUGCCAACUGUUAGGUUGUUAGAAUAAUAACCUCCUAUAUAUAGCUUGUUGUCACACUAUCACAUUCACUCUUUCAAUAAUCAAAAAGGGAUUAUGCUUAACUUUCCUUACAAUUUUCCCUCAAUUUCUCUUCCUUUUUUCAUCAUGUUGCACAACUUCACGAUGAACCAUUAAUUAUGAACUAUAAUUGCAUAUGAACCAAUACAUUAAACACUAAAUGUCGAAGCUUCCAAAAAUACUGCUUCAGGGAGGUAAAUUUGUUUGAAUCAUGGUGAAAUGAUUCAAAAACAAACAAGCCCAAAAUGUUCUUCAAAAACAUAAUUACGAUUCCACAUAUCUUUGAACGGCAUGGACAAACUAAUGACAAACACAAUAAUAUGGGAAUUAAGUUCAAUGCUACAAUAUACUAUUUCAUAAUAUCAUGCAUUUCAUAAAACUAAAAGAGGAACUUCAUAAAACUCAAAAGACAGACUCAAGACGAGUCCUAUAAUGCAUUUCAUCAUUCUUGUUGCUUUAAUACCACAACUAUUAAGAUUAAACUUACUAGACAUGGAAUUGAAAGAAGAAAAAAGAUCAGCAUUGUAUUUCUUACUUGAAUUGUUUAGAACCUUGACAGAGAACUAUUCCACCACUUUCCUCUUCAAUUGAUGGGCUUGAUAAGGUGUUUCUCCUAUUUUUUACAGCAGCGACAAAUACACGACCAAUCCUAAGAAAGGGACUCUUGUCAUUAACCUUAAUGUUAAACCUAUAGGUCAUUGUUCCAAGCAAGAAAACAAUCAAACCAAUGAUCAUUACAACACAAGGGAUUCCAAAUCCAAGAACCCAACUAUAGUUAUCUUGAAUAUAGGUCAAGACUAAAAUUGUUGCCGAGCAAACUGCAACCAUUGUAAAAUACCACCAAUUAAAGAAUGAGCCUCUAGCUAUGAGCUCCUUAGGAUGUUUAUCGUCGAAUUGAUCUGCCCCGAAAGCUUGAACACAAGGUUUAUGUCCACUUUGUCCAAUGGCAACUAGAUAGAGUGAGAUGAAGAAUAAGAUUACUUGUGAAUGUGGGGAACAGAAUAUGAAUGUAC
This 5853-nucleotide long non-coding RNA is filed under the name Trifolium pratense (red clover). RNAcentral describes it as "long non-coding RNA (TPRA_LNC013909)". The record is from RNAcentral. Lineage: Eukaryota; Viridiplantae; Streptophyta; Magnoliopsida; Fabales; Fabaceae.